RNAcentral lists this unclassified non-coding RNA (201 nucleotides) under Hevea brasiliensis (rubber tree). The record is from RNAcentral. Lineage: Eukaryota; Viridiplantae; Streptophyta; Magnoliopsida; Malpighiales; Euphorbiaceae.
CCCGACCUCCAUAAUCGCUUUGUCGAUGCAGUCACCAAGCUCGGAGGGCCAGACAAAGCAACACCGAAAUCGGUUCUUAGACUGAUGGGCAUGAAAGGGUUGACACUCUAUCAUCUCAAGAGCCAUCUGCAGAAGUAUAGACUUGGAAUGCAAACUCGUAGGGACCGGGGCCAUGAAGGGAUGAAAGAUGGGAGGAAUGGG